UGAACGGAUCGCUUUUUACCUAUCAUACAGAGCUACCACAAAGUACACAGAAAUGGAUUAUAAAACAAAAUCCAUUAAGUCUAAUUUGAGCACUAUCUGUCGGGUGGUCAAAUUGUACUCAACAGGAGCUAUAAAAUACCAGCGUCAUUACUGAGACCCCUGAAUAAAUGCCUUUAGAAAAUACUUGAGACAACAAACAGGAAGACCUUCGGCUGAGAGUAUAAAUCGGGCUAUGACAGGCACUUGCAGGGAAAAUAGUAUGAAACAACAUGAUCGUGUGUAUCAAAGCUGUGUCCUAGGAUGCCAACCUGGAGGUACCACACAAUGGUGUGGUCAAGCAAGGCUGCC
This is a long non-coding RNA of Drosophila busckii, 348 nucleotides long. RefSeq lists it as uncharacterized. The transcript is spliced from 3 exons. The record is from RefSeq and is a predicted model, not a curated record. NCBI's taxonomy places the organism in Eukaryota, Metazoa, Arthropoda, Insecta, Diptera, Drosophilidae.